UAAUACCGGAUAAUAAUAGGAACUGCAUAGUUCUCAUUUAAAAGAUGGCUCCGGCUAUCACUACAGGAUGGGCCCGCGACGCAUUAGCUAGUUGGUAAGGUAACGGCUUACCAAGGCGACGAUGCGUAGCCGACCUGAGAGGGUGAUCGGCCACACUGGGACUGAGACACGGCCCAGACUCCUACGGGAGGCAGCAGUAGGGAAUCUUCCGCAAUGGACGAAAGUCUGACGGAGCAACGCCGCGUGAGUGAUGAAGGGUUUCGGCUCGUAAAGCUCUGUUGUUAGGGAAGAACAAGUGCCGUUCAAAUAGGGCGGCACCUUGACGGUACUUAACCAGAAAGCCACGGCUAACUACGUGCCAGCAGCCGCGGUAAUACGUAGGUGGCAAGCGUUGUCCGGAAUUAUUGGGCGUAAAGCGCGCGCAGGCGGUCUUUUAAGUCUGAUGUGAAAUCUCGGGGCUCAACCCCGAGCGGUCAUUGGAAACUGGGAGACUUGAGUACAGAAGAGGAGAGUGGAAUUCCACGUGUAGCGGUGAAAUGCGUAGAUAUGUGGAGGAACACCAGUGGCGAAAGCGACUCUCUGGUCUGUAACUGACGCUGA
Molecule: ribosomal RNA, 600 nt
Filed under: Alkalihalobacillus alcalophilus
Lineage: Bacteria; Bacillati; Bacillota; Bacilli; Caryophanales; Bacillaceae
Description: bacterial SSU rRNA
Rfam family: Bacterial small subunit ribosomal RNA
Source: RNAcentral